AUGCCUAUGAAUUCUUCACUUGUUAUUGAACCAUUUGAUGUGUGGGGAUUUGAUUAUAUGGGACCUUUUCCUUCCUCUAAUGGGUAUACACAUAUUUUGGUUGCUGUUGAUUAUGUUACUAAGUGGGUAGAAGCUAUUCCAACUAGUAGUGUUGAUCCUAACACUUCCAUUAAAAUGCUUAAAGAAGUUACUUUCCCGAGGUUUGGAGUCCCUAGAUAUUUAAUGACUGAUGAUGGUUCACAUUUUAUUCAUAGUGCUUUCCGUAAAUUGCUUGCUAAAUAUGAUGUCAACCAUAGAAUUGCAUCCCCAUAUCACCCUCAAUCUAGUGGUCAAGUUGAGUUGAGCAAUAGAGAAAUAAAGUUAAUUUUGUAA
RNAcentral lists this ribosomal RNA (372 nucleotides) under Triticum aestivum (bread wheat). RNAcentral's name for it is "partial small subunit ribosomal RNA". Lineage: Eukaryota; Viridiplantae; Streptophyta; Magnoliopsida; Poales; Poaceae. The record is from RNAcentral.